CCUACGGGAGGCUGCAGUGGGGAAUAUUGGACAAUGGGCGAAAGCCUGAUCCAGCCAUGCCGCGUGUGUGAAGAAGGCCUUCGGGUUGUAAAGCACUUUCAGUGGGGAAGAAAGCCUUGGGGCUAAUACCCUCGAGGAAGGACAUCACCCACAGAAGAAGCACCGGCUAACUCCGUGCCAGCAGCCGCGGUAAUACGGAGGGUGCGAGCGUUAAUCGGAAUUACUGGGCGUAAAGCGCGCGUAGGCGGUCUGAUAAGCCGGUUGUGAAAGCCCCGGGCUCAACCUGGGAACGGCAUCCGGAACGGUCGGCUAGAGUGCAGGAGAGGAAGGUAGAAUUCCCGGUGUAGCGGUGAAAUGCGUAGAGAUCGGGAGGAAUACCAGUGGCGAAGGCGGCCUUCUGGACUGACACUGACGCUGCGGUGCGAAAGCGUGGGUAGCAAACAGGAUUAGAUACCCUAGUAGUC
Molecule: ribosomal RNA, 464 nt
Filed under: Vreelandella stevensii
Lineage: Bacteria; Pseudomonadati; Pseudomonadota; Gammaproteobacteria; Oceanospirillales; Halomonadaceae
Description: partial 16S ribosomal RNA
Rfam family: Bacterial small subunit ribosomal RNA
Source: RNAcentral